This 911-nucleotide ribosomal RNA is filed under the name uncultured fungus. RNAcentral's name for it is "eukaryotic LSU rRNA". The stretch from base 572 to 911 matches the Rfam family "Eukaryotic large subunit ribosomal RNA", at positions 1 to 334 of the family's 3401-position model. The record is from RNAcentral. Lineage: Eukaryota; Fungi.
GGAAGGAUCAUUAUUGAAAUAAACCCUGAGCAGGCUGUUCUGCUGGUCCCUUGGACAUGUGCACGCCUCGCUCGUCUUUAUUUUUCCAACUGUGCACAUAUUGUAGGCCUGGAGCAUUUCUUAUCCAUUUGAAUAGAUUGAGGACUGCCAGUUGUGUGGCUUUGCCUUGUGUUUCCAGGUCUAUGUUGUAAUACAUUUUCACAAUUGUUUCAGAAUGGUCGAGUACAAAAAAAAAUAUACAACUUUCAGCAACGGAUCUCUUGGCUCUCGCAUCGAUGAAGAACGCAGCGAAAUGCGAUAAGUAAUGUGAAUUGCAGAAUUCAGUGAAUCAUCGAAUCUUUGAACGCAUCUUGCGCUCCUUGGUAUUCCGAGGAGCAUGCCUGUUUGAGUGUCAUUAAAAAUUCUCAACCAUGCUGGUUCUUCUGGUGUGGCUUGGAUUUUGGGGGCUUUUGCAGGCUUUUUGUCUGCUCCCCUGAAAAGAAUCAGCGGUAUCUUGACUACCCUUGGGUGUGAUAAAUCAUCUAUGCCAUUGGUAUGCAGGACCCUGCUCAUAACAGAGUGUUGACAGAUUUGACCUCAAAUCAGGUAGGACUACCCGCUGAACUUAAGCAUAUCAAUAAGCGGAGGAAAAGAAACUAACAAGGAUUCCCCUAGUAACUGCGAGUGAAGCGGGAAAAGCUCAAAUUUAAAAUCUGGCGGUUCUUGACCGUCCGAGUUGUAAUCUAGAGAAGUGUUACCUGUGCUGGACCGUGUACAAGUCUCCUGGAAUGGAGCAUCACAGAGGGUGAGAAUCCCGUCUUUGACAUGGACUGCCUGCACGCUGUGGUGCGCUCUCGAAGAGUCGAGUUGUUUGGGAAUGCAGCUCAAAACGGGUGGUAAAUGCCAUCUAAAGCUAAAUAUUGGCGAGAGAC